GACGAACGCUGGCGGCGUGCUUAACACAUGCAAGUCGAACGGAAAGGCCCUGCUUUUGGGGGGUGCUAGAGGGGCGAACGGGAGUGAAACACGAGAGUCAUCCGCCCGAGAUUGUGGGAUAACUUCAGGAAACGGGGGCUAAUACCGGAGAGGAGCCUCCGCUGCAGGGGGGGGGUGGGAAAGUUUCGGCGGUGGGGGAUGGUCUCGCGGCUUUUCAGUUUGUGGGUGGGGGAGGGGCUUACCAAGGCUUUGACGGGUAGCCGGCCUGAGAGGGUGCCCGGCCACCUUGGGACUGGGGUACGGCCCGGACUCCAACGGGGGGCAGCGGUGGGAAAUAUUGCACAAGGGUCGGAAGCCUAGUGCGGCACCGCCUCUGUGGGAAUACCGGCCUUCGGGUUGUAACCCGCUUUCGCCUGGGACGAACCGUGAGUGACGGUAGUGGGUAAAGAAGCACCGGCUAACUACGUG
Molecule: ribosomal RNA, 468 nt
Filed under: uncultured bacterium
Lineage: Bacteria
Description: partial 16S ribosomal RNA
Rfam family: Bacterial small subunit ribosomal RNA
Source: RNAcentral